Molecule: ribosomal RNA, 533 nt
Filed under: uncultured bacterium
Lineage: Bacteria
Description: bacterial SSU rRNA
Rfam family: Bacterial small subunit ribosomal RNA
Source: RNAcentral
AAUAGAUACCCAGGUAGUCCACGCCGUAAACGAUGAGUGCUAAGUGUUAGGGGGUUUCCACCCCUUAGUGCUGCAGCUAACGCAUUAAGCACUCCGCCUGGGGAGUACGGUCGCAAGACUGAAACUCAAAGGAAUUGACGGGGGCCCGCACAAGCGGUGGAGCAUGUGGUUUAAUUCGAAGCAACGCGAAGAACCUUACCAGGUCUUGACAUCCCGCUGACCGCUAUGGAGACAUAGCCUUCCCUUCGGGGACAGCGGUGACAGGUGGUGCAUGGUUGUCGUCAGCUCGUGUCGUGAGAUGUUGGGUUAAGUCCCGCAACGAGCGCAACCCUUGUCCUUAGUUGCCAUCAUUCAGUUGGGCACUCUAAGGAGACUGCCGUACAAAUACGGAGGAAGGUGGGGAUGACGUCAAAUCAUCAUGCCCCUUAUGACCUGGGCUACACACGUGCUACAAGUGGACGGUACAAACGGUCGCGAAGUCGCGAGACGGAGCCAAUCCGAAAAAACCGUUCUCAGUUCGGAUUGCAGGCUGC